RNAcentral lists this signal recognition particle RNA (299 nucleotides) under Saimiri boliviensis boliviensis (Bolivian squirrel monkey). Its description in RNAcentral is "Metazoan signal recognition particle RNA (ENSSBOG00000000805.1)". It matches the Rfam family "Metazoan signal recognition particle RNA". Rfam says of the family: The signal recognition particle (SRP) is a universally conserved ribonucleoprotein. It is involved in the co-translational targeting of proteins to membranes. The record is from Rfam by way of RNAcentral. Lineage: Eukaryota; Metazoa; Chordata; Mammalia; Primates; Cebidae.
UCCAGGCACAGUGGCGCAUGCCUGUAGUCCUAGCUACUUGGGAGGCUGAGGUUGGAGGAUCGCUUGAGCCCAGAAGUUCUGGGCUGUAGUGUGCUAUGCCCAUCAGGUGUCCUCACUAAGUUCGGCAUCAAUAUGGUGACCUCCCGGGAGCAGGAGACCACCAGGUUGCCUAAGGAGAGUGAACCGGCCCAGGUCGGAAACGGAGUAGGUCAAAACUCCCACGCUGAUCAGUAGUGGGAUCGCGCCUGUGAAUAGCCACUGCACUCCAGCCUGGGCAACAUAGUGAGACCCCCGUCUCU